This 458-nucleotide ribosomal RNA is filed under the name uncultured bacterium. RNAcentral's name for it is "bacterial SSU rRNA". It matches the Rfam family "Bacterial small subunit ribosomal RNA", at positions 28 to 484 of the family's 1533-position model. The record is from RNAcentral.
GACGAACGCUGGCGGCGUGCCUAACACAUGCAAGUCAACUUGACUGAAGGAGCAAUCUGACAGUAGAGUGGCGCAAGGGUGCGUAACGCGUAAGUAACUUGCCCCAAGGUAAGGAAUAACGUCGAGAAAUCGGCGCUAAUACCUCAUAAUGCAGCGGAUCCGCAUGGAUAUGUUGUUAAAAGGUUUACCGCCUUGGGAUAGGCUUGCGUCUGAUUAGCUAGUUGGUGUGGUAACGGCACACCAAGGCUACGAUCAGUAACUGGUCUGAGAGGAUGAUCAGUCACACUGGAACUGAGACACGGUCCAGACUCCUACGGGAGGCAGCAGUGAGGAAUAUUGGGCAAUGCUCGAAAGAGUGACCCAGCAACGCCGCGUGGAGGAUGAAGGUAUUCUAUAUCGUAAACUCCUGUGAGAGCAGACGAAAGACAGAUUAUUAAUCUGGAUGACUGUAUGCUCAG